CCUACGGGAGGCAGCAGUGGGGAAUAUUGCACAAUGGGGGAAACCCUGAUGCAGCGACGCCGCGUGAGUGACGAAGUAUUUCGGUAUGUAAAGCUCUAUCAGCAGGGAAGAUAAUGACGGUACCUGACUAAGAAGCACCGGCUAAAUACGUGCCAGCAGCCGCGGUAAUACGUAUGGUGCAAGCGUUAUCCGGAUUUACUGGGUGUAAAGGGUGCGUAGGUGGCAAGGCAAGUCUGAAGUGAAAAUCCGGGGCUCAACCCCGGAACUGCUUUGGAAACUGUUUAGCUGGAGUACAGGAGAGGUAAGUGGAAUUCCUAGUGUAGCGGUGAAAUGCGUAGAUAUUAGGAGGAACACCAGUGGCGAAGGCGACUUACUGGACUGCUACUGACACUGAGGCACGAAAGCGUGGGGAGCAAACAGGAUUAGAUACCCUAGUAGUC
This 440-nucleotide ribosomal RNA is filed under the name Escherichia coli. RNAcentral's name for it is "bacterial SSU rRNA". It matches the Rfam family "Bacterial small subunit ribosomal RNA", at positions 338 to 795 of the family's 1533-position model. Lineage: Bacteria; Pseudomonadati; Pseudomonadota; Gammaproteobacteria; Enterobacterales; Enterobacteriaceae. The record is from RNAcentral.